This 262-nucleotide ribosomal RNA is filed under the name uncultured bacterium. Its description in RNAcentral is "partial 16S ribosomal RNA". It matches the Rfam family "Bacterial small subunit ribosomal RNA", at positions 793 to 1055 of the family's 1533-position model. The record is from RNAcentral.
GUCCACGCUGUAAACGAUGGAUACUGGAUAUUGGCAGUGUCGACCCUGCCAGUGUCGAAGCUAACGCGUUAAGUAUCCCGCCUGGGAAGUACGAUGGCAACAUUAAAACUCAAAGGAAUAGACGGGGACUCACACAAGCGGUGGACCAUGUGGCUUAAUUCGACAACAAACGAAGAACCUUACCAGGACUAGAAACCCAACUGACCAUACUAUGAAAGUAGUACUUCGCAAGACAGUUGGGCAGGUGCUGCAUGGUUGUCGU